ACACUAAAGAUCCAAUCAACUUUAUGAAUCGUAGUGGUGUUUACAGAUUAUCUUGUUCCGAUUGUGAUGCCUCUUAUGUAGGAAGAACCUAUAGAUCACUGUCUACUAGAGCAGCAGAGCACACUAAACGUGACAAUACAUCAGCUUUCUCUCACCAUCUCAAAGUCAACAAACACCACCUUAACAUCCCAGAUGGUGUGACUUUGAUUCAUAACAUCCAAGAUAAGAAUACCCUUCGUUUAGACCUAUAUGAGGAUUUAGAGAUUGUCAGGGACGCAAGGACAAGUCCAAACUGUGUUAACCGUCAACUUUCUCUUAACCGUGAUUUCACCCCCAUUCAUAGACAAUUAUUUCCAUAAUUCUAUAUUUUUAUUCACCUUCACAUUGGCCUUCUUUCCUAUACAUACCACGACAAACCCAAAAUAAACAAAAAACCCAAACAUUAUACCUAAUCAAAUAUUCUUUUAGUACUUCCAGUUUCUUUCACUCUGUGCUCCUGUCAAGACUCUAUCUCUUCCAUCUCAUUCUUUAAUUAUUUUCACUUAACAAAAUCAUUUUCUCAUUAUAUCAAAAUCACACCAUGGAACCCUUGAUCUUUUCGGAUAUGACAUUCUAAUAUAGACAAUAACCAAAAAUUUUGUUGAAUUUCCAACAUUUUAAUUGAUUCACUCUAUUUUUCAUUUAGAUUAAAAUAAAAAAUAAAUCUCAGCUAUCAACAUUUAAUAAAUUUACUUAAUAUCAACUUUGGUCAAUACAAUAUUCAAUCUAGAAUUUCAAUAGUUUAAUAUGUGACAUAUUCUUUUUACAUUUAGAGCUUACAAUCAAAAUUAAUUUUCUUCUUUGAUCAAAACAUGUACAUUUCUUUCAGCGCAGUUUUCCUAAUUUAAUAUCAGUCUUUAUCCAUUUAACAAUUCACACAAUUUAAUUUCAAAACAGUAAUUAUAUUUCAUUUAUUUGUCCACUGAACAUAGGCAACUUACCUUAUCACCUUUUUAAUAAUUUUUCUAAAUUUAGAUUUUCAAUAGUUCUAUAUGGGACAAACUCUUUACAUUCAGUCAUAACAAAAUAUUUUUAGAGAAGAUUUCUUGAUUAAGAUAUGUACAUACAUUUUUUCAAUUCCACUUCCCUUUUUUAAUAUCAUUUCCUUUAAUACCUCCAAUAAUUCACAUUACAGAUCUAUAGAUUGGUAUUUUCUCAUUAUAUUCGUUGGUUCCCUGAAACAUAUGCAACCGACCAUUCACUAUUGGCAUUACUUCCAAUUCUACAGCUGCUACUCUAUUAAAAUAUCAUAUUUUGAUAAAAAAAUUUUAAAAAUUUUCUAUAUAAUUUUCAAUAAUAUUCAUUCAUUAUAACUUUGCUCAAAUUAAUAUAAUUAUUAUCAGUCCUAUACAGUAGACAAACAGUCUAUGACGUCACAGCAUAUGAGUAGAAUUUUGCUUUUGUUUACGGUGCACUAAUGAAUAUAUCAUUAUAGCUUAUUAACCUUUAUUUACAAUUUAGAAUUCAUAUCAAACAAAUUUAAUAGUUGCAUAUUCACAAUUGAAUAAUUAAGUUAAAUAUUAAUGCACAUUGUCAAAAAUUUUUCGGUUGACAUUUGAGAAAUCCACCUAUCUUCUUUGACAUCUUGUCAUGAAUUUUCAGGCACCAAUCUGUCUAAUCAGUUGGUUGUUAACCUCUCACCUGAUCACAACCUUGUGCUAAUUCCGAGCAAGGAUGACAUACAUCCACAUGUGAUACAUUUUUAAUCUUAAGACAUCGACUUAUUGUCGAUUACUAUACAGCUCAUAAUGUAGCAAUAAUGUUAUUUUGAGGUUUUACACCUAUUCAAGUGGCUAGUUUCAAUUACUUGUACACUGGACACUUACCAACAUAUGCUAGAACAAACACAGCUAGAUGGAUGUAUGCAGACGAUACAGCCAUUGGAAUCAUCAGUCAAAUACCUGCAAGUACACCUCGACUGGAAACUGAACUUCACAAAACAUUGAAGCUAACCAUGAUAAAAGCUGCAUUAUUAAAAAGACUAAUAUUCAACCUUACAUGUUAUUAUAAAAAGACUAAUAUUCAACCUUACUUCCCGUCUACCUGAACAAUUUGAUAUUUUCUGAAGAUAUUAAUAUAUUAAAAACAAUUUACGAACAUAUCAAAAAUUGUAAAUAUAGAUUGUAGCAAUAAAAUUUACCCUGUAUUUAAGAAAUUUUGUUAAAACAAAGCAGGCAUGUUUGUUAAAACAAAACAAACAUGUUUGUUUUGUUGUUAUUUUGUUUUAAAUAAUCCUGUAGAUUUAAGUAAUUAUUGUAUAUUAUAAUUGAAAAAAGAAAAGAACAAAAAAAAAGAGAAAAAGAAAAGAAAAAAAAAAAAAAGAAAAAAAACAGAAAAAAUAAAAAAAGAAAAAAAAAAAAAGAAAAAAAAACUAAGAAGAUGUAAACCUCUGCGAGGAUGAAUCGGGUUUACGUCUUAGCGUAGUACAAAAAAAAAACAAUUUAUAAAAAAUAACAAUAAAAAAAUUAAUAAAAAAAAACAAAUUAACAAUAUAAAAAAAAUGCAAAAAAAAUACAAAAAAAAUAAAAAUUUACAAAAAAAAAUGAACAACCAAAAUAGAGUAUUAUUUAGAUAAUAAUGUUAGUUUGUUAUGUAUUUAGAGUUAGAAAUACAGAAAAAAUUCCUCUGAUUGAAAAAUCAAAUUUGUUUGUUUUUAAAAUAACAAAAUGUCUGGCUAAUUGGCUCGGCCAAAGCCAUCAAAUUCACUCAAAAAAAAAACCUUACAUGUUUAGAAUCAGCCCUCUAAA
Molecule: long non-coding RNA, 2786 nt
Organism: Diabrotica virgifera virgifera (western corn rootworm)
Lineage: Eukaryota; Metazoa; Arthropoda; Insecta; Coleoptera; Chrysomelidae
Exons: 2
Source: RefSeq, a predicted model, not a curated record